Molecule: ribosomal RNA, 552 nt
Filed under: uncultured Tricholomataceae
Lineage: Eukaryota; Fungi; Basidiomycota; Agaricomycetes; Agaricales; Tricholomataceae
Description: eukaryotic LSU rRNA
Rfam family: 5.8S ribosomal RNA (bases 170-323)
Source: RNAcentral
CUGUGCACCUUCUGUANACCUGGAUAAACUCUCGAGGAAACUCGGUUUGAGGACUGCUGUGCGCAAAGCCAGCUUUCCUUGUACUUCCGGUCUAUGUUUAUAUACACCCCUAUAGUAUGUCUCAGAAUGUUUGUUGUUGGGCUUUGAAUGCCUUUAAAACUUUAAAUACAACUUUCAACAACGGAUCUCUUGGCUCUCGCAUCGAUGAAGAACGCAGCGAAAUGCGAUAAGUAAUGUGAAUUGCAGAAUUCAGUGAAUCAUCGAAUCUUUGAACGCACCUUGCGCUCCUUGGUAUUCCGAGGAGCAUGCCUGUUUGAGUGUCAUGAAAUUCUCAACCUUUUCAGCUUUUUCUGUUGAUCAGGCUUGGAUGUGGGAGUAUGCGGGCUUCUCAUCUCAGAGGUCGGCUCUCCUGAAAUGCAUUAGCGGGACCUUUGUUGCCUGGCUUUGGUGUGAUAAAUUAUUUAUGCCAUCGUGAAGAGCAGNUUUAUAAAUGGGGUUCAGCUUCUAAAUGGUCUCCUUUGAGACCAACUUCUGACAAUUUGACCUCAAAUC